Molecule: ribosomal RNA, 274 nt
Filed under: uncultured bacterium
Lineage: Bacteria
Description: partial 16S ribosomal RNA
Rfam family: Bacterial small subunit ribosomal RNA
Source: RNAcentral
AUACGGAGGGUGCAAGCGUUAAUCGGAAUUACUGGGCGUAAAGCGCACGUAGGCGGUCCGUUAAGUUAGAUGUGAAAGCCCCGGGCUUAACCUGGGAACUGCAUUUAAAACUGGCGAACUAGAGUUGAGUAGAGGGGAGUGGAAUUUCAGGUGUAGCGGUGAAAUGCGUAGAGAUCUGAAGGAACACCAGUGGCGAAGGCGACUCCCUGGACUCGAACUGACGCUGAGGUACGAAAGCGUGGGUAGCAAACGGGAUUAGAUACCCUAGUAGUCC